GUGUCAGCAGCCGCGGUAAUACGUAGGGUGCGAGCGUUAAUCGGAAUUACUGGGCGUAAAGCGUGCGCAGGCGGUUAUAUAAGACAGAUGUGAAAUCCCCGGGCUCAACCUGGGACCUGCAUUUGUGACUGUAUAGCUAGAGUGCGGCAGAGGGGGAUGGAAUUCCGCGUGUAGCAGUGAAAUGCGUAGAUAUGCGGAGGAACACCGAUGGCGAAGGCAAUCCCCUGGGCCUGCACUGACGCUCAUGCACGAAAGCGUGGGGAGCAAACAGGAUUAGAUACCCUGGUAGUCCACGCCCUAAACGAUGUCAACUGGUUGUUGGGUCUUCACUGACUCAGUAACGAAGCUAACGCGUGAAGUUGACCGCCUGGGGAGUACGGCCGCAAGGUUGAAACUCAAAUGAAUUGACGGGG
RNAcentral lists this ribosomal RNA (413 nucleotides) under uncultured prokaryote. RNAcentral's name for it is "bacterial SSU rRNA". It matches the Rfam family "Bacterial small subunit ribosomal RNA", at positions 505 to 918 of the family's 1533-position model. The record is from RNAcentral.